GCAUGCUGAUCCCUUGUGAUUUGAAGCUAAGAAGGUUUGGGCCUAAUUAGUACUUAGAUGGGAGACCGCCAGAGACUAGGAAGGGCGUGCA
Ribosomal RNA from Pogona vitticeps (central bearded dragon), 91 nucleotides. Lineage: Eukaryota; Metazoa; Chordata; Lepidosauria; Squamata; Agamidae. The record is from Ensembl.